Molecule: ribosomal RNA, 330 nt
Filed under: uncultured Lactobacillales bacterium
Lineage: Bacteria; Bacillati; Bacillota; Bacilli; Lactobacillales
Description: bacterial SSU rRNA
Rfam family: Bacterial small subunit ribosomal RNA
Source: RNAcentral
GUCGCUAAAGGGAUGGACCUGCGAUGCAUUAGCUAGUUGGUAAGGGUAACGGGCUUACCAAGGCGAUGAUGCAUAGCCCGAGUUGAGAGACUGAUCGGGCCACAUUGGGACUGAGACACGGGCCCAAACUCCUACGGGAGGCGGCAGUAGGGAAUCUUCCACAAUGGACGAAAAGUCUGAUGGAGCAAACGCCGCGUGAGUGAAGAAGGUUUUCGGGAUCGUAAAGCUCUGUUGUUGGUGAAGAAGGAUAGAGGUAGUAACUGGCCCUUUAUUUGACGGUAAUCAACCAGAAAGUCACGGGCUAACUACGUGGCAGCAGCCGCGGUAAAU